Long non-coding RNA from Astatotilapia calliptera (eastern happy), 1852 nucleotides. The record is from Ensembl. NCBI's taxonomy places the organism in Eukaryota, Metazoa, Chordata, Actinopteri, Cichliformes, Cichlidae.
GUUUGGUAGCAACCAGUCCUUACCCAAUACCUUGAGUUUACAAAUGCUCACCUGCUUGUACUUGCCCCAUGCUGCCAGGAGCCAUCUUCUCCUGCCCAAACCGCCUUUUUUUGUGACAAUGAAGUUUGUAAACAUGUUAUGUUUUCAUUCAUUUUCUGAAGAGAUUCAUUAUAACAUACUCUUUUUUUCUUCAUAGCUUUAAAUGAUUUUUGCUUGACAUACCCAUCACCAUUUACCCUCAAACACUGACCCUAAUCCCCACUCUAACCCCCUGCCCAGGAUCAGUCCUGGGAGUGGCCCGUUCUGAACAUUGUGGUGUGCUGCUGAGAGCAGCAUGGAGUAAUGUGGAUGAGGCCUGGGGAAACCCAGUUGGGGAGAGGGGCUAUGCCCUGAACUCUUGUCAGAUGUUUCUUAAGUGCAAAACGGUUCAGCGCUUUUAACUUGUGAAUAAUACACUAUGUGGUUCAUUUCCUGUUUGUAGCCACUAAUGAGAGAGGACCAGGUGGGAUGAGGCUGAUUACAGGGACCCUGGAGGACUGGGAUAGAGUGAGGAGACAGGUGCCGUGGGCUGGCCCUCCCUCUCCAUGUACAAGAGAAGUUCUCCAGCUGAUUGUUCACAUAUUAGCUUGUAUGUACGCUGUAAAUGUAGCGUAGACUAGAUUGCCUCUACAUUAGCAAUUGAAACUUGAUAAGAAUAUGGGCAACUAAGGACUCCGAUCCCAGAGCUAUAUCCCACCAAUCCUCUCUCAAGAGGUUUUGAAGUAGGGGCACACACACUAGCCUCAAGGCCUGCUUCUGUUGGUUUCCCUCCCCCUGCCUGUAACUUGUUGCCACAUCCCCAGAGUUUUGCGGCUCAGUAUGACGUCACUCCAUUAAGUGGCUGCUGCAUGUACUGCUCUAAGGAAACACAUACUAUAUAGAGAAAUAUAUAUAUAAAUAGAUAGAUGGCUAUGAUUUUAUUCUUUUGUAUUAUCAUUUUUCUUCAUUACUCGCACAGGAGAUAUUUGUAUGUACUUCUGUCUCUGCCAAACAUCGAUGUACUAAAAUCUUCACGCUCCACAGAUGUUGUAUGGCAUCCACUAAACCUCUUUAGAUAUUUGUAAAUGCUAUAGUGUGAUACCUUUCAACGCAAGUUCAUUAUUUUUCUUUCACCAAUGAUAAUUUUGUUUUGGAGAACAAACAAAGCAAGAAAAAAAAGAAAAAAAAAUCACUCUGUGUCUGGCUUUGACAUGAUGACCUAACUAACACUGUAUUAUUGUAACUGAAAUAUGUAUGAUCCUAUGAUGAGCUAUCACUUCCCUUUCACUCUUAAAAAAUAAAAAAGAGAAAAAAAUCCAGUGUAAAAAAUAAAAGGAUAUAUGUAGUGUAUGCUUGUGUUUAGUGAGUGUUCAUGCUGUCAUUCUUUUCCAAUGUAUGGUGGUGAAUUAUGGUGGCUAUGUGCUGUUCUGAUUGGAUCAGCCAAGAUCUGUUGUAAAACCCUUUUUUGUACACCCUCUCAUCAACUGUGACAGUGACGUAGUGAAUUUCAUUUACUUCAUUUAUUUUUUUGACUUUUUAUUUUCCAUAAAUGGAUACAGUGGUAAUGUGUUUGGUUUAUAAAUCACUAAUAAAAUUUGCUUUAUUAAAAUACAUGUGAAUAUAUUGUCUUGUGUGUGUGAGAGAGAUAGCUCUGUGCUUUUCCCCUGCCAUUUGAAGGCCAAUUAAAUAGUGACUAAAUCUAUUUCAGGUUUUAAGGGGAAAAAAAUCUAUUUUUUAGCACCCAGUUCAUGUGCACGUUUAAAAUACUACACCUAUUUAAAAGUUGCCUUUACAAUUAAAAUUUUUUGGCAGGCAAUAUAGAAAACAAGUGCAU